This 888-nucleotide ribosomal RNA is filed under the name uncultured bacterium. Its description in RNAcentral is "bacterial SSU rRNA". It matches the Rfam family "Bacterial small subunit ribosomal RNA", at positions 54 to 936 of the family's 1533-position model. The record is from RNAcentral.
CAUGCAAGUCGAGGGGCAGCAUGUUUGGUUGCUUGCAACCAACGAUGGCGACCGGCGCACGGGUGAGUAACGCGUAUCCAACCUACCCUUGUCCAUCGGAUAACCCGUCGAAAGGCGGCCUAACACGAUAUGCGGUUCACAGCAGGCAUCUAACGUGAACGAAAUGUGAAGGAGAAGGAUGGGGAUGCGUCUGAUUAGCUUGUUGGCGGGGUAACGGCCCACCAAGGCUACGAUCAGUAGGGGUUCUGAGAGGAAGGUCCCCCACAUUGGAACUGAGACACGGUCCAAACUCCUACGGGAGGCAGCAGUGAGGAAUAUUGGUCAAUGGACGAGAGUCUGAACCAGCCAAGUAGCGUGCAGGAAGACGGCCCUAUGGGUUGUAAACUGCUUUUAUAGGGGGAUAAAGUGUGCCACGUGUGGCAUAUUGCAGGUACCCUAUGAAUAAGGACCGGCUAAUUCCGUGCCAGCAGCCGCGGUAAUACGGAAGGUCCAGGCGUUAUCCGGAUUUAUUGGGUUUAAAGGGAGCGUAGGCCGUUUGGUAAGCGUGUUGUGAAAUGUCGGGGCUCAACCUGGGCAUUGCAGCGCGAACUGCCAGACUUGAGUGCGCAGGAAGUAGGCGGAAUUCGUCGUGUAGCGGUGAAAUGCUUAGAUAUGACGAAGAACUCCGAUUGCGAAGGCAGCCUGCUGUAGCGCAACUGACGCUGAAGCUCGAAAGCGUGGGUAUCGAACAGGAUUAGAUACCCUGGUAGUCCACGCGGUAAACGAUGGAUGCUCGCUGUUUGCGUCUGACGUAAGCGGCCAAGCGAAAGCGUUAAGCAUCCCACCUGGGGAGUACGCCGGCAACGGUGAAACUCAAAGGAAUUGACGGGGGCCCGCACAAGCGGAGGA